This 1322-nucleotide long non-coding RNA is filed under the name Homo sapiens (human). RNAcentral describes it as "HSALNT0336185". Lineage: Eukaryota; Metazoa; Chordata; Mammalia; Primates; Hominidae. The record is from RNAcentral.
AGAUACAGAAUCUCACUAUGUUGCCCAGGCUGGUCUUGAACUCCUGGCUUGAACAGUCGUCAUGCUGCCUCAGCCCUCACCCUCCUGGAUAGCUGGGACUGCAGGCACGCACCACCGUGCCAGCCAAGACUUGCUUUUAAGCCUUGUCAGGAGGGACCACAGGAGACUUUAGAGUAAGCUGAAUUGGGCUGCAUUACUGAGACAAUACUCAGAGUGUUCUACUCAGUGCCCGAUGAAUUAGAAGGUUUUCAACUGUGGUUGGUGGCCACAGGGGCUAUUCUCUGGCUGGUGGGAGCUCUAGGAAUGGUUCCCUCUAAUCUUUUUGGGUGAUUCUUUUUCUGGCCUCAUUUCUUUUCCUCACAUGCAUGUGCUGAUCAAUACUUUGCUGAAGACCCAAAGAUGACACUCUGCAGAGCCCAGAGUUCUCUCCGUGUGCAGCUUUCUUCUCUCCAGUAUUCUCUCCUUGAAGAAACUGAGAUAGGAGAAGGGAUGGUGCCUGAGUCUGCGGCAGACCCUGAACUGGGCCACAUCUCCCAACUUGAGAUUGAAGUCGCUUUGAAAGCAGAGCACAUGAAUCCGGGCAACGUGACUUAAGAGCUGGCUGAUGUUCCAGGACAGCACAAAAGAACGGAACUUGUUUUCAUGCUAUGAGUGCGCAAACCAAUGGGCAGUUUUUGGGGUUACUCGUGAUUGCUCCUCGGUCCAGAGUUCAGGCAGCAAUCUGAGCCACUCAACUGCUCUUCUUUACCCCUCUACCUCUGCAGUUCAUUGGGGGACAGAGCUGGGCCAGGAUCCUGGGACAGAAGGAGGAGGCGGGCCCAGGAAAGUCCACUUGGGGUAACACACAAUUUGUACAUAAAAAAGAAAUGUUCACCUCUUUGUAUGUACCGUAGUAAUUAUUUCACCUUCUUUUAUGAACUUGCACAUUUUCAGAGAGAGUUAAAUUAAGCAGAGUCUGAAAGUGGAGAAUUCUCACAUAGAUAAAAGAAUGGGGACCUGAAAUUGGGUCAUCAGGAAGUGUCUUGUGGCAAAAUACACUUAGUAUCGAACUGAAGGAAGAAAUAUUUCAAACAUUUUCUUUAAGGAAAACUUAAUGGAUGUGACUUAAUAUUGUCUAGACUGACCUAGCAGCACAAGGUGGUGCGUUCAAGGACUUUUCAUCUCAAUCCACAGGAAAAGGGUUCGAUUUAGAUGAGAAAGAGGGAGCGGGGCACAGCUAGACUGGAGAGGCAUCCUGUCCACGGAUUAGUCUUCACUCUUCAUGUGGGCAGUAGAAUGGUAAACGGGACCUUCUUAAAACAGCAGCUCCCAAACACUGGGAG